Molecule: unclassified non-coding RNA, 248 nt
Filed under: Glomus sp.
Lineage: Eukaryota; Fungi; Glomeromycota; Glomeromycetes; Glomerales; Glomeraceae
Description: partial contains 5.8S ribosomal RNA and internal transcribed spacer 2
Rfam family: 5.8S ribosomal RNA (bases 1-71)
Source: RNAcentral
GUGAAUCAUCGAAUCUUUGAACGCAAAUUGCACCCUCUGGUAUUCCGGAGAGUAUGCCUGCUUGAGGGUCAUUUUACAUAAAAAUCGGCGUUUUUGCUGCCUUUCGUGGUGACGCACCGGACUUGGGUCGUCUUGCCUUCGGCUUAGGGACCUAAAAUUUUGCAUGAUUUUUUUCGAACGUAGUUAAAUGAUUUUACGUACGUUUGCGAUAUCGAAUACUAGGUGUGGCCAUCCUCAUGAUUCGCGUC